UGGGUGUUCAAUAACCAUACUUGGAGACCA
This 30-nucleotide non-coding RNA is filed under the name Mus musculus (house mouse). The record is from RNAcentral. Lineage: Eukaryota; Metazoa; Chordata; Mammalia; Rodentia; Muridae.